Molecule: transfer RNA, 65 nt
Filed under: Trimerodytes annularis (Red-bellied annulate keelback)
Lineage: Eukaryota; Metazoa; Chordata; Lepidosauria; Squamata; Natricidae
Description: tRNA-Thr
Source: RNAcentral
GCUCAAGUAGCUUACCACUAAAGCAUUGUUCUUGUAAACCAAAGCCGGAUCACAUCCCUAGAGCA